UAACUCACCCGGCUCACUCUCCCUCAGCCGCUCUUUCUUCUCCCCUUCUCUCCUUCCCCCGACUCCAUGCGAGCGUCGCCGCUGCCGGGAUUCCGCCGCCCAAGCCGUAGGCUCCAUCGCGGGCCCUCUGGUCGGAGGACGCGUGCGACUAGAAUUGAUUCAUAGUUGGGCAAAAGAAGGUAGCCAUGCAGGCUUUUUCUCUAUGGCAGGGAUUCGUUGCUGUUGUGAAUUGUGAUGGAUGAAGCCACAAAGCUAUUGUUUUGGAGCUGAGUGUUAGAUGAAAUAGGGAAUCUGAGAGGUGAGGCAAGUUUAGAGCUACCUCUCAAGUCUGAAUAAAUCAUGUGUUUUGCUACCUGAGACUUGUGUUCAAUCCUUUGUAUCCAUACAGUAACUUUAGAUACCUAGAUUCUGUAUGGGAAAAUGGUUCAUGAUGUGGAUAGUGUAUAUAUCUUCAAUUUAGAUUGACCUUUCUUGGAUGAUUUGUUCAAAAAAUUCUUGAUCAUAUGAAAUAGCGUUGUAGACAUUAUCCUAUAAUAUAUAGUCAAACAUGUGUAAUUUAUA
Molecule: long non-coding RNA, 561 nt
Organism: Setaria italica (foxtail millet)
Lineage: Eukaryota; Viridiplantae; Streptophyta; Magnoliopsida; Poales; Poaceae
Exons: 3
Source: RefSeq, a predicted model, not a curated record